GGAGAUUAAUCUGUGUCCUCAGCCCAGGUGCCAUGAGUUCCUCUGGAGCAGGAUCACCUGCCUCCGAGAAUAUGACAGUCUCAGAGAGUAAAGAACACAAGAUUUACGAAUCCCAUACUUGUACUGGAAAUAUUACCCUGCUUUGGACUCCAUCA
This is a long non-coding RNA of Empidonax traillii (willow flycatcher), 155 nucleotides long. RefSeq lists it as uncharacterized. The transcript has 3 exons. The record is from RefSeq and is a predicted model, not a curated record. Lineage: Eukaryota; Metazoa; Chordata; Aves; Passeriformes; Tyrannidae.